CGGGGCCAUUUUAUCUAGCAGAGAACUCUUGUCCUUUAUGAGUCCUGUUUACAUUAAUUUCCAUAGAAACUGCACAUAGCUCACCUCUACCCCAAUGGAUGGCCAACAAAUGUCAGGGCCCGGGACUGGCCAGCGCCUUUGUCAGUUGCACCGGCAUUGGUCGUCCUGGCGCCCGCUUUCUCUCCUGGUUCUGUCUUUUAGUUUGAUUUCUCAGGCCUGCAUCAUAUACUGGGCAGGGGACUGGAACCUAACUGCAGGGGUCUCCAGUACCAGGAACACCAGAGAGGCCGAGGGAGAAGCAGAGAUGAAACCAGAGAGGAAACAGAGGGGAGAUGACCAGCAUCCCGUGGGCCACGAAGAAAACUACCCAAAUGACCAGGGACCAGCAAAGUAAACUAUGCUCUGCUCACGUAAGGGUGACAAUACCACAUGUGCUGAUGCGGGGAGACUACUCCUGCGACGACAUACUGACGUGAAGACCAUUUUCCCCGUGCGUGAGUGUGCGUGUCCGUGAAGUAUAAUGUCCACAUCAAACUGCUCAGAGCGGCCACCUCUGGUGAAUGACUGGGAAUAGAAAUGUUUCACUUUUCAUUUUCAAAAAAUGUUUUUACAAAAAAAAAAAAAAAAAUGUUUUUACAAUCCUGUCAGUUGACACCCCUCAGAUGUCACAUCGCAGCAAGAAUCCAGGACUCCAGGCCUCAGGCCAACAAAACCAGGGGUGUAUCUUGAAGCCCAGGGGCCACCUGCCAUCACCCCAUUGUGCUGUUCCCCUUGAAGCCGUGGGCCCCACCUCUCCAGCGCCUGCAGCAGCGCCUUCCCACCCUCUUGAGGUCCUUGCCUCUGGGCAGGCUUGACUGCAACCCAGGCGGCCCGGAGAGACCAGUGCUGCACAUCCACUGAGCCCAUGGUCACCUGGGUCCUACGGAUGUACAAUGGGGGCCAGGUCCUGCCCUUGGAUUCCAGGGAGCUGGCACUACUGGGCGACCUGACCCACAGUGCCAUCUUCAACCACCACUGCAAGAGCCUGUAGCACAGCUGCGUGACACUGCUUUGCUGGCUGCUGAAGGCCUGGCACCAGCGCUAGGAGCCCUUCCUGCAUACCCAGGACACCAGCCUGCCUGCUCAAGCUGGGCCCUGCCCCAGUGCACAUGGACCUUAUGGACUGGCUGCUCGCCACAGCGUGCCCCGGGAGGGUGGAUGAGCAGCCCCCAGCAGGACACUGCUAGCCCUUGGGGGUCCUGGGCUAUGGCAGGAGAGGCAGGGGCCUUGCCUGUACGUCCUUAUCCCGGCCACUUCAUGUACAGCACUCCCCCAAGCCCGAGAGGGAGUAAGCCAUGAAAGUGGCCGCUUGCUGUGGGUCUAUGGGGCGGGGGGGGGGUCAGCCACGUCCCUGCCUCUGCCACAUGGGCCCCAAAGCAGGCCAAGCCAGGGACCCCAUGGCCCACAAGGCAAAGGCAUCUUCAGUUUUCACUGUAAAAGUUUUUUAAUGCAUUCUUUUUACUUAAUGUUUUAGGCGUGUGUGACACUUUGGUUUUAGCAGUCAUGUCCCCCUCGUGGCCCUGACUGGCUUUCUGGCUGGCUUUUUCCUGUGGGCAGUUGCCCUCCCUCUCAGAGUGUGCUUUCGGUGUGCUGGCCUGGGGGCGCCCACUGAUCCCUCCCAAGUACUCCGGUGGCUUUGGCUGCCCCCAUGGCCACAGGCCAGCGCCUGGGGGUCUGGGUUGAGGGGCAUCCGUAUGAGCAGGGUUCCGAGGACUCUGCUAGCCACAGGCGCCAUUAAGUGGCAGGUGCAGCGCCCUUCCUGAGCCGAGGUGGGUGGCGUGGUCCGGGUGGGACGCUGGUCCAGGGCGGGGGUGCACGGGCUGGCCCACCUUGGGGCCCAGCUCUCCAGCAGUCUGAUGAGGAAGGGUGGGCCUGUGGUAGCCAGUCGGGCAAGAGGCCAAGCCCUGGGCCUGCCACAGGGACCAGCCCAGCCACCUGUGGGGCCAGUCUGCAUCCUGCUAGGCCGCCUGCCUGCCCCGGCCCCCACUGCCUGCACCCUCAGGUGCAGGCUCAGUGCAGGACCUGGCUUACAAGCAGCUACUGCAAUACUGUCCUCACCAGCAUUGUCAAGGGGACCUGAGCUUGCAUGGCUUUCAGUCUGUCAGCAGGCAUGGUCACUGGUCAGUGACUGCCCAGCGAAGGGGAGGUGCAUGCUCUCCCCCCCCACCCCGUAAUGGCAGCUCCUCCCACGGGCACCCCUGAGCAACCACCUGGUCCCUGCCUGGCUCCCUGCUGGGUUACAGGCUUAGCUCUGCUAAAGGUGCUGCGUUAGGGACAUGGCUCCCACAGUAGUACAGAAAUGCACAUCACACACACGUGUACAUACUGGCUCCAGAGUUG
Molecule: long non-coding RNA, 2379 nt
Filed under: Heterocephalus glaber (naked mole-rat)
Lineage: Eukaryota; Metazoa; Chordata; Mammalia; Rodentia; Bathyergidae
Description: lncRNA (ENSHGLG00000039455.1)
Source: RNAcentral